GAUGAACGCUGGCGGCGUGCUUAACACAUGCAAGUCGAACGGAAAGGCCCCAGCUUGCUGGGGUACUCGAGUGGCGAACGGGUGAGUAACACGUGGGUGAUCUGCCCUGCACUUUGGGAUAAGCUUGGGAAACUGGGUCUAAUACCGAAUAUGACCACUUCUUGGAUGUUGUGGUGGAAAGCUUUUGCGGUGUGGGAUGAGCCUGCGGCCUAUCAGCUUGUUGGUGGGGUAAUGGCCCACCAAGGCGGCGACGGGUAUCCGGCCUGAGAGGGUGUACGGACACAUUGGGACUGAGAUACGGCCCAGACUCCUACGGGAGGCAGCAGUGGGGAAUAUUGCACAAUGGGCGCAAGCCUGAUGCAGCGACGCCGCGUGGGGGAUGAAGGCCUUCGGGUUGUAAACUCCUUUCGCUAUCGACGAAGCCACUUGUGGUGACGGUAGGUAGAUAAGAAGCACCGGCUAACUACGUGCCAGCCGCCGCUGUAA
Molecule: ribosomal RNA, 486 nt
Filed under: uncultured bacterium
Lineage: Bacteria
Description: partial 16S ribosomal RNA
Rfam family: Bacterial small subunit ribosomal RNA
Source: RNAcentral